Anastrepha ludens (Mexican fruit fly) is the source of this 479-nucleotide long non-coding RNA. RefSeq lists it as uncharacterized. The transcript has 3 exons. NCBI's taxonomy places the organism in Eukaryota, Metazoa, Arthropoda, Insecta, Diptera, Tephritidae. The record is from RefSeq and is a predicted model, not a curated record.
CAGACCAAGCGAACGAUUUCAGAUGCGCGAAGAAGAACAGCCACAUUUUCAUGGAGAUGGAAGAAGAAAUGAGUAAAGGCAAGGGUUAAAAUCCAUAACCUUACAAACCAAUAUAAGCACGAAAAAAAGAAAAUGCGGUCGGGCGGAGCUCCUUCCUCCUGGUCCUACUAGUCGGAAGUACACUCAAUUCUAAGCGGCAGCAAGGUUGCUAAUUUCGAACACCUCAUGCAAGAUAAUUUUGUGUCGAACAAUGAAGGUGAUGCGAAUGACGAUCCACUGCUUGCGUCGGAGGCAUCAAUAAGCUCCAGAAGAUCGCUACCAUCUCCAGUACCAGUAAGUCCGACUGAACCUAAAAAAAACAAUGAGCCAGGAAGCGAUUCUUAAUUGCUUGGAGCGUUCGACUGCAUGUCUAGAAAAAGGCUUGACUGAAAUUAAAGAAAUACAAGCCACAAUGAUGGACAUUACGAAGAAGGCGUUGA